This 551-nucleotide ribosomal RNA is filed under the name uncultured bacterium. RNAcentral's name for it is "partial 16S ribosomal RNA". It matches the Rfam family "Bacterial small subunit ribosomal RNA", at positions 355 to 895 of the family's 1533-position model. The record is from RNAcentral.
UGGGGAAUAUUGCACAAUGGGCGCAAGCCUGAUGCAGCCAUGCCGCGUGUGUGAAGAAGGCCUUCGGGUUGUAAAGCACUUUCAGCGAGGAGGAAGGUGGUGAGCUUAAUACGCUCAUCAAUUGACGUUACUCGCAGAAGAAGCACCGGCUAACUCCGUGCCAGCAGCCGCGGUAAUACGGAGGGUGCAAGCGUUAAUCGGAAUUACUGGGCGUAAAGCGCACGCAGGCGGUUUGUUAAGUCAGAUGUGAAAUCCCCGGGCUCAACCUGGGAACUGCAUUUGAAACUGGCAAGCUAGAGUCUCGUAGAGGGGGGUAGAAUUCCAGGUGUAGCGGUGAAAUGCGUAGAGAUCUGGAGGAAUACCGGUGGCGAAGGCGGCCCCCUGGACGAAGACUGACGCUCAGGUGCGAAAGCGUGGGGCAGCAAACAGGAUUAGAUACCCUGGUAGUCCAGCGCUGUAAACGAUGUCGAUUUUGGAGGUUGUGCCCUUGAGGCGUGGCUUCCGGAGCUAACGCGUUAAAUCGACCGCCUGGGGAGUACGGCCGCAAGGUU